RNAcentral lists this ribosomal RNA (109 nucleotides) under Chlorobiota bacterium. Lineage: Bacteria; Pseudomonadati; Chlorobiota. The record is from RNAcentral.
UAAGGCGACUAUUGCGACGGGGUUCCACCUCUUCCCAUACCGAACAGAGAAGUUAAGACCGUCAGCGCCGAUGUUACUGCAUUCGCGGGAAAGUAGGUCGUCGCCUUUU